GCCAGGUGUGGCGGUGCAUGCCUGUAGUCCCAGCUACUUGGGAGGCUGAGGCAGGAGAAUCGCUUGAGCCUGGGAGGUGGAUGUUACAGUGAGCCAAGAUUGUGUCACUGUACUCCAGCCUGGGCAACAGAGUGAGACCCUGUCUCAA
Molecule: non-coding RNA, 148 nt
Filed under: Gorilla gorilla gorilla (western lowland gorilla)
Lineage: Eukaryota; Metazoa; Chordata; Mammalia; Primates; Hominidae
Source: Rfam by way of RNAcentral